This 395-nucleotide transfer-messenger RNA is filed under the name Anaerolineae. RNAcentral's name for it is "f UBA1429 X2 Standard tmRNA". It matches the Rfam family "transfer-messenger RNA". Rfam says of the family: Bacterial tmRNA, also known as 10Sa RNA or SsrA, is named for its dual tRNA and mRNA-like properties. Its role is to liberate the mRNA from a stalled ribosome. To accomplish this part of the tmRNA is used as a reading frame that ends in a translation stop signal. The record is from RNAcentral. RNAcentral also lists the same sequence under 1 other name. Lineage: Bacteria; Bacillati; Chloroflexota.
GGGGAUGACAGGCUUCGACAGGGAGGGCUGAUCAGCGGAUUGCAAGCCGAGGUGCCUCAACCUCGUAAAUCAGGGGCAACCGAUAAGUGCCAACAACACUUACGCUCCGGUUUAUGCGAUGGCCGCGUAAUCGCGGUCAAUAGCUAAGCCCUUGACCGACUCGGUUCGGUCACGUCCAUCCUCGGCUUCGCCCGAGAGUCGGGGAAUGGGCGUCAGGUAAUUCGGGAUGCGGCUCCCGGGACGCCGAUAGCGGGGGCCAAAGAUAAAUCGGCUGGUGAGCUGUGGCUCCUGUUGGCCCGGCCUAGGCUCACGAGAAACAAACGGACCAACUAAGCUUGUAGUAGAUCCCUGAUCGAACUUUCUGGACGCGGGUUCGAUUCCCGCCAUCUCCACCU